This 254-nucleotide ribosomal RNA is filed under the name uncultured bacterium. RNAcentral's name for it is "partial 16S ribosomal RNA". It matches the Rfam family "Bacterial small subunit ribosomal RNA", at positions 524 to 776 of the family's 1533-position model. The record is from RNAcentral.
UACGAAGGGGGCUAGCGUUGCUCGGAAUCACUGGGCGUAAAGGGUGCGUAGGCGGGUCUUUUAAGUCAGAGGUGAAAUCCUGGAGCUCAACUCCAGAACUGCCUUUGAUACUGAGGAUCUUGAGUUCGGGAGAGGUGAGUGGAACUGCGAGUGUAGAGGUGAAAUUCGUAGAUAUUCGCAAGAACACCAGUGGCGAAGGCGGCUCACUGGCCCGGUACUGACGCUGAGGCACGAAAGCGUGGGGAGCAAACAGG